Molecule: ribosomal RNA, 205 nt
Filed under: uncultured bacterium
Lineage: Bacteria
Description: partial 16S ribosomal RNA
Rfam family: Bacterial small subunit ribosomal RNA
Source: RNAcentral
UACGUACGAGGCGAGCGUUAUCCGGAAUUAUUGGGCGUAAAGCGCGCGCAGGUGGCUUUUAAGUAGGGCGUGAAUCUCCCGGCCUAACUGGGAGGGGUCGCCCUAGACUGGGGAGCUUGAGGCUGGCAGAGGUAGGUGGAAUUCCUGGUGUAGUGGUGAAAUGCGUAGAGGAUCAGGAGGAACACCGGUGGCGAAGGCGGCCUAC